AUGGAGCUGAGACAUUUACUGCCUGUGCCAAGCAGUGCCAAGCACCUCUGGAAGCCCCUGCCUAGGACCCCCAGAUUUAGAUUCAUGCUGCAGUCUGGAGAGUGUUUUGACGGCUGCCGGGCUACAGGGAAAAGCACACUGCACACUGCCUCUGAGAUGAGACAGAGCUCUACAGGCUGGGAGUCUGAGGAAGCCGGAAACAAAUACUCUGCUUCCUGCAGGGAAAAGCAAAGCCCACUUCACCAUUGGCCAUCAGGUCCCAGGAGGAUCACUUUUCUUAUGCAGCAUCCUACCUCUGCGCCAUGGGAAGAAGCCAACCCACUUUCCAAUGGCAAAACCGAGUUCAUACACACCAUAUUCUUCAGCGUCUGUACUUCCCCUGCCAGUUGGAUCUGUGUUCUUUUGCAGUUCUGGGGACUUUUCAAGACUCUACUGAUUAAAUCUGCAAAGAAUAUCAAUAAUGCAAUUCAGAAACUGGCUUUCUGA
This 486-nucleotide long non-coding RNA is filed under the name Mus pahari (shrew mouse). RNAcentral describes it as "lncRNA (MGP_PahariEiJ_G0006306.1)". The record is from RNAcentral. Lineage: Eukaryota; Metazoa; Chordata; Mammalia; Rodentia; Muridae.